This 660-nucleotide ribosomal RNA is filed under the name Hanseniaspora opuntiae. Its description in RNAcentral is "eukaryotic LSU rRNA". It matches the Rfam family "Eukaryotic large subunit ribosomal RNA", at positions 1 to 598 of the family's 3401-position model. Lineage: Eukaryota; Fungi; Ascomycota; Saccharomycetes; Saccharomycodales; Saccharomycodaceae. The record is from RNAcentral.
UUUUACUUUACAAGGGAAAUGGUAAUGUACCUUAGGCAAAGGGUUGCUUUUAAUAUUCAUCAAGUUUGACCUCAAAUCAGGUAGGAUUACCCGCUGAACUUAAGCAUAUCAAUAAGCGGAGGAAAAGAAACCAACUGGGAUUACCUUAGUAACGGCGAGUGAAGCGGUAAAAGCUCAAAUUUGAAAUCUGGUACUUUCAGUGCCCGAGUUGUAAUUUGUAGAAUUUGUCUUUGAUUAGGUCCUGUCUAUGUUCCUUGGAACAGGACGUCAUAGAGGGUGAGAAUCCCGUUUGGCGAGGAUACCUUUUCUCUGUAAGACUUUUUCGAAGAGUCGAGUUGUUUGGGAAUGCAGCUCAAAGUGGGUGGUAAAUUCCAUCUAAAGCUAAAUAUUGGCGAGAGACCGAUAGCGAACAAGUACAGUGAUGGAAAGAUGAAAAGAACUUUGAAAAGAGAGUGAAAAAGUACGUGAAAUUGUUGAAAGGGAAGGGCAUUUGAUCAGACAUGGUGUUUUUUGCAUGCACUCGCCUCUCGUGGGCUUGGGCCUCUCAAAAAUUUCACUGGGCCAACAUCAAUUCUGGCAGUAGGAUAAAUCAUUAAGAAUGUAGCUACCUCGGUAGUGUUAUAGCUUAUUGGAAUACUGCUAGCUGGGAUUGAGGACUGC